UGUCUAUGCACAAGCCGAUUCGGUGAAGCCGCGAAUGGCUCAUUACAACAGCCACUGUUUACUUGAUCUUGACAAUCCUACUUGGAUAACUGUGGUAAUUCUAGAGCUAAUACACGCAGCAAAGCUCUGACCUCAGGGGACGAGCGCAUUUAUUAGAACAAAACCAAUCGGUUCAAACCGAAGACUGGUGAAUCUGAAUAACUGAGCUGAUCGCACGGUCUUUGCACCGGCGAUGUAUCUUUCAAGUGUCUGCCUUAUCAACUGUCGAUGGUAGUUUAUGCGCCUACCAUGGUUGUAACGGGUAACGGAGAAUAAGGGUUCGACUCCGGAGAGGGAGCCUGAGAAACGGCUACCACAUCCAAGGAAGGCAGCAGGCGCGCAAAUUACCCACUCUCAGCACGAGGAGGUAGUGACGAAAAAUAACGAGGCGGUUCUCUAUGAGGCCCGCUAUCGGAAUGGGUACAAUCUAAACCCUUUAACGAGGACCUAUGAGAGGGCAAGUCUGGUGCCAGCAGCCGCGGUAAUUCCAGCUCUCAAGGUGUAUAUCGCCAUUGCUGCGGUUAAAAAGCUCGUAGUUGGAUCUGCGCCUCAGGACCUGGUCCUCCCAACGGGUGCGAACUGGGAUCCGAGGCCACAUUGCUGGUCUAGGCCAGAUGUUCUUAGCUGAGUGUCUGGUCUGGCUGGCGAGUUUACUUUGAAAAAAUUAGAGUGCUCAAAACAGGCCAACGCCUGAAUAUCGGUGCAUGGAAUAAUAGAAUAGGAUCUCGGUUCUAUUUUGUUGGUUUUCGGAACCAAGAUAAUGGUUAAGAGGGACAGACGGGGGCAUUCGUAUCGCUGCGUGAGAGGUGAAAUACUUGGACCGCAGCGAGACGCACUACUGCGAAAGCAUUUGCCAAGAAUGUCUUCAUUAAUCAAGAACGAAAGUCAGAGGUUCGAAGGCGAUCAGAUACCGCCCUAGUUCUGACCGUAAACGAUGCCAACUAGCGAUCCGCCGGUGGUAAUUUCGCCCCGGCGGGCAGCUUCCCGGAAACGAAAGUCUUCCGGUUCCGGGGGAAGUAUGGUUGCAAAGCUGAAACUUAAAGGAAUUGACGGAAGGGCACCACCAGGAGUGGAGCCUGCGGCUUAAUUUGACUCAACACGGGAAAACUCACCCGGCCCGGACACCGUGAGGAUUGACAGAUUGAGAGCUCUUUCUUGAUUCGGUGGUUGGUGGUGCAUGGCCGUUCUUAGUUGGUGGAGCGAUUUGUCUGGUUUAUUCCGAUAACGAGCGAG
Molecule: ribosomal RNA, 1272 nt
Filed under: Creagrocercus drawidae
Lineage: Eukaryota; Metazoa; Nematoda; Chromadorea; Plectida; Creagrocercidae
Description: SSU rRNA
Rfam family: Eukaryotic small subunit ribosomal RNA
Source: RNAcentral